This 430-nucleotide ribosomal RNA is filed under the name Blastocystis sp. RNAcentral describes it as "SSU rRNA". It matches the Rfam family "Eukaryotic small subunit ribosomal RNA", at positions 57 to 494 of the family's 1831-position model. The record is from RNAcentral. Lineage: Eukaryota; Bigyra; Opalinata; Blastocystidae.
GUGUAAGUAUAAAUAAUUUUACUUUGAAACUGCGAAUGGCUCAUUAUAUCAGUUAUAGUUUAUUAGAAAUAUUUUACUACUUGGAUAACCGUAGUAAUUCUAGGGCUAAUACAUGAGUAAAACCUCAACUUCGGAAGAGGUGUGUUUAUUAGUAUGAAAACCAUAUAUCUUCGGAUAUAAUAGUGAGUAAUAAUAACCUUUCAUAUCGUAUGUCGUAAGAUAACGAUGGUUCUUUCAAGUUUCUGCCCUAUCAGCUUUCGAUGGUAGUAUAUGGGACUACCAUGGCAGUAACGGGUAACGAAGAAUUUGGGUUCGAUUUCGGAGAGGGAGCCUGAGAGAUGGCUACCACAUCCUAGGAAGGCAGCAGGCGCGUAAAUUACCCAAUCCUGACAUAGGGAGGUAGUGACAAUAAAUCACAAUGCGGAACUUU